RNAcentral lists this long non-coding RNA (958 nucleotides) under Heterocephalus glaber (naked mole-rat). Its description in RNAcentral is "lncRNA (ENSHGLG00100039701.1)". The record is from RNAcentral. Lineage: Eukaryota; Metazoa; Chordata; Mammalia; Rodentia; Bathyergidae.
CUCUACGUCUGUUGCUUCCAGAUGAUAAUCACAGUCAUGUCUUAAUACAGCUCAGGUUAAUCUGCUCUGAGGCACUCUGGAGAUUUUUCAGUCCUGAAGAAUUUUUCUUUCAUCUGACAACUGAUCAACCUUGGGAUUCCAAAGAUGUCAGGACUUGAGCCUGAGAAGAUGUAGCACAGGGUCUCAGGGCUGGACUUCAGUAGAUACAGAUCUGCCCCAAACAGCGAUCUGUUCAUAGACAUCUACAAGCUAAAAGUCAGUCACCUCCAUGGACUGUCCAGCCCCAUCUUUGCUGUCCAGAUCUUCGGGGCUGCUAUGACUCUGAAAUGAGGCCGUGAUGCGAUCUGCAUAGGUUAAGAGGGUCCAGCUCUCUGGCUACGGUGACUUGAGUGUUAUGAUGUGGAUCUGGAGUGCUCCCCAUGUCACUUGUGCUAAAGGGUUGGUUGCCAGACUGCGGCAUUAUUGGGAGAUGGUGGGAAUACAGGACAGAGCAUCUAACUGGGAGGAAGUUAAAUUACAGGCGGUAAGCACUUGAAGUAAUAUUGGAACUCCAUCCCUUCUCUCUCUUUCCUCCUGGAUGCCAUGAGGUAAGCAGCUUUGUUCUACCAUCUCCCACCUAUCAGGGUGUCCUGCCUCAACACCAGCCCCAAAGCAAUGGAGCCAACUGGCCAUACAUGGAAAUCUCUGAACACAUGAGCCCAAGCAAAUAGUUCUUUUUUAUUUUGUUAAUCUCAAACAUUUUGCCAUGGUGAUUAAAAGCUGACUAGUGCAAUAAUCCUUGCUGAUUAUGUCAUUAAGGGGGGAAGUCACUUGAAUAACCCUCAAUGGUCACUAUCCAUACUGGGUCCAGUGUAAGGCUCAAUGUGUCUCCAGGGAAAAUUUCUGUGAGAUGUGAAAUAAACACUCAAGAUCCUCUUCUCAGUCUCCAGUCCUCUUUGGUGAGUGGCUUUGUACUACU